GAAUUCGAUUCGGUGUGACAAGGCCCGGGAACGUAUUCAACGCAGCGUAGCUGAUCUGCGUUUACUAGCGAUUCCGACUUCAUGAAGGCGAGUUGCAGCCUUCAAUCCGAACUGAGCGCGCGUUUAUGAGAUUGGCUUGCCCUCGCGGGUUCGCAGCUCGUUGUCGCGCGCAUUGUAGCACGUGUGUAGCCCUGGACGUAAGGGCCAUGCUGACUUGACGUCAUCCCCACCUUCCUCCGGCUUCUCACCGGCGGUCUCGUGUGAGAGAUCUUGUGGACCAACACACGACAAGGGUUGCGCUCGUUGCGGGACUUAACCCAACACCUCACGGCACGAGCUGACGACAGCCAUGCAGCACCUGUGUUGCGGCCGGGUUGCCCCGGAGCCUACUUUCGUAGGAUUUCCGCACAUGUCAAGCCCAGGUAAGGUUCUUCGCGUUAAUCACUA
Molecule: ribosomal RNA, 447 nt
Filed under: uncultured soil bacterium
Lineage: Bacteria
Description: partial 16S ribosomal RNA
Source: RNAcentral